GUUUGAUCCUGGCUCGAAUGAACGCUGGCGGCAGGCCUAACACAUGCAAGUCGAACGGAGUUAUAUUGUAGCUUGCUAUGGUAUAACUUAGUGGCAGACGGGUGAGUAAUGUAUAGGAAUCUACCUAGUAGUACGGAAUAAUUGUUGGAAACGGCAACUAAUACCGUAUACGCCCUACGGGGGAAAAAUUUAUUGCUAUUAGAUGAGCCUAUAUUAGAUUAGCUAGUUGGUGGAGUAAUAGCCUACCAAGGCAAUGAUCUAUAGCUGAUCUGAGAGGAUGAUCAGCCACACUGGAACUGAGAUACGGUCCAGACUCCUACGGGAGGCAGCAGUGGGGAAUAUUGGACAAUGGGCGAAAGCCUGAUCCAGCCAUGCCGCAUGAGUGAAGAAGGCCUUUGGGUUGUAAAGCUCUUUUAGUGAGGAAGAUAAUGACGGUACUCACAGAAGAAGUCCUGGCUAACUCCGUGCCAGCAGCCGCGGUAAUACGGAGAGGGCUAGCGUUAUUCGGAAUUAUUGGGCGUAAAGGGCGCGUAGGCGGAUUAGUAAGUUAAAAGUGAAAUCCCAAGGCUCAACCUUGGAAUUGCUUUUAAAACUGCUAAUCUAGAGAUUGAAAGAGGAUAGAGGAAUUCCUAGUGUAGAGGUGAAAUUCGUAAAUAUUAGGAGGAACACCAGUGGCGAAGGCGUCUAUCUGGUUCAAAUCUGACGCUGAGGCGCGAAGGCGUGGGGAGCAAACAGGAUUAGAUACCCUGGUAGUCCACGCUGUAAACGAUGAAUGUUAAAUAUGGGAAGUUUUACUUUCUGUAUUACAGCUAACGCGUUAAACAUUCCGCCUGGGGACUACGGUCGCAAGAUUAAAACUCAAAGGAAUUGACGGGGACCCGCACAAGCGGUGGAGCAUGUGGUUUAAUUCNNAUGCACGCGAAAAACUUUACCACUCCUUGACAUGGAAAUUAUACC
This 957-nucleotide ribosomal RNA is filed under the name uncultured bacterium. Its description in RNAcentral is "bacterial SSU rRNA". It matches the Rfam family "Bacterial small subunit ribosomal RNA", at positions 11 to 999 of the family's 1533-position model. The record is from RNAcentral.